RNAcentral lists this ribosomal RNA (495 nucleotides) under uncultured bacterium. Its description in RNAcentral is "partial 16S ribosomal RNA". It matches the Rfam family "Bacterial small subunit ribosomal RNA", at positions 30 to 507 of the family's 1533-position model. The record is from RNAcentral.
UGAACGCUGGCGGCGUGCCUAAUACAUGCAAGUCGAGCGAACAGACGAGGAGCUUGCUCCUCUGACGUUAGCGGCGGACGGGUGAGUAACACGUGGAUAACCUACCUAUAAGACUGGGAUAACUUCGGGAAACCGGAGCUAAUACCGGAUAAUAUAUUGAACCGCAUGGUUCAAUAGUGAAAGACGGUUUUGCUGUCACUUAUAGAUGGAUCCGCGCCGCAUUAGCUAGUUGGUAAAGUAACGGCUUACCAAGGCGACGAUGCGUAGCCGACCUGAGAGGGUGAUCGGCCACACUGGAACUGAGACACGGUCCAGACUCCUACGGGAGGCAGCAGUAGGGAAUCUUCCGCAAUGGGCGAAAGCCUGACGGAGCAACGCCGCGUGAGUGAUGAAGGUCUUCGGAUCGUAAAACUCUGUUAUUAGGGAAGAACAAAUGUGUAAGUAACUAUGCACGUCUUGACGGUACCUAAUCAGAAAGCCACGGCUAACUACGUG